AUCCCUUCUAGGUCUUUUGGUUAAGACCAAGUGUAGGAUCUGUUUUUAUCAGUUUAAUAUCUGGUAUGUCCUUUAUCCCAGGACAAUAUAUGAAGUGGAUUUUUGGAGCAGGGAGAUGGUUGAAAAUAAUACACCAUGCUUAACUUUGACCAUUUGCUCCUGCUAAUCAGAUGUUCUGCAUAAAACUGGCAAUUGGGUAAUGAUUUU
This 207-nucleotide small nuclear RNA is filed under the name Macaca fascicularis (crab-eating macaque). RNAcentral's name for it is "U2 spliceosomal RNA (ENSMFAG00000034856.2)". The stretch from base 1 to 186 matches the Rfam family "U2 spliceosomal RNA". Rfam says of the family: U2 is a small nuclear RNA (snRNA) component of the spliceosome (involved in pre-mRNA splicing). RNAcentral also lists the same sequence under 1 other name. The record is from RNAcentral. Lineage: Eukaryota; Metazoa; Chordata; Mammalia; Primates; Cercopithecidae.